GAUGAACGCUGGCGGCGUGCCUAACACAUUCAAGUCGAACGAGAAUCUCGGAGCUUGCUCUGAGAGGAAAGUGGCGGACGGGUGAGUAACGCGUGAGCAACCUGCCUUGUACUGCGGGAUAACAUUGGGAAACUGGUGCUAAUACCGCAUAACACACACCAUUCGCAUGUAAGGUGUGUCAAAGAAUUUCGGUGCAAGAUGGGCUCGCGUCUGAUUAGAUAGUUGGUGAGGUAACGGCUCACCAAGUCGACGAUCAGUAGCCGGACUGAGAGGUUGAACGGCCACAUUGGAACUGAGAUACGGUCCAGACUCCUACGGGAGGCAGCAGUGGGGAAUAUUGGGCAAUGGGCGAAAGCCUGACCCAGCGACGCCGCGUGAGGGAAGAAGGUCUUCGGGAUUGUAAACCUUAGUCAACAGGGAAGAAGCAAGUGACGGUACCUGUGGAGGAAGCCACGGCUAACUACGUG
RNAcentral lists this ribosomal RNA (467 nucleotides) under uncultured bacterium. Its description in RNAcentral is "bacterial SSU rRNA". It matches the Rfam family "Bacterial small subunit ribosomal RNA", at positions 28 to 507 of the family's 1533-position model. The record is from RNAcentral.